RNAcentral lists this ribosomal RNA (490 nucleotides) under uncultured bacterium. RNAcentral describes it as "partial 16S ribosomal RNA". It matches the Rfam family "Bacterial small subunit ribosomal RNA", at positions 28 to 507 of the family's 1533-position model. The record is from RNAcentral.
GAUGAACGCUAGCUACAGGCUUAACACAUGCAAGUCGCGGGGCAGCAUGGGGGUUGCUUGCAAUCCCCGAUGGCGACCGGCGCACGGGUGAGUAACGCGUAUCCAACCUGCCCUUCACCACGGGAUAACCCGGCGAAAGUCGGACUAAUACCGUAUGUUGUCCAUUGACGGCAUCCGAUUUGGACGAAAGGCUUGGCGGUGAGGGAUGGGGAUGCGUCCGAUUAGCCAGACGGCGGGGUAACGGCCCACCGUGGCUACGAUCGGUAGGGGUUCUGAGAGGAAGGUCCCCCACACUGGAACUGAGACACGGUCCAGACUCCUACGGGAGGCAGCAGUGAGGAAUAUUGGUCAAUGGGCGUAAGCCUGAACCAGCCAAGUAGCGUGCAGGAUGACGGCCCUAUGGGUUGUAAACCGCUUUUAUGCGGGGAUAAAGUGGCCCACGUGUGGGCUUUUGCAGGUACCGCAUGAAUAAGGACCGGCUAAUUCCGUG